RNAcentral lists this ribosomal RNA (520 nucleotides) under uncultured bacterium. RNAcentral's name for it is "bacterial SSU rRNA". It matches the Rfam family "Bacterial small subunit ribosomal RNA", at positions 120 to 674 of the family's 1533-position model. The record is from RNAcentral.
GGGAAUCUACCCUUCUCUGCGGAAUAGCUCCGGGAAACUGGAAUUAAUACCGCAUACGCCCUUUGGGGGAAAGAUUUAUCGGGGAAGGAUGAGCCCGCGUUGGAUUAGCUAGUUGGUGGGGUAAAGGCCUACCAAGGCGACGAUCCAUAGCUGGUCUGAGAGGAUGAUCAGCCACAUUGGGACUGAGACACGGCCCAAACUCCUACGGGGGGCAGCAGUGGGGAAUAUUGGACAAUGGGCGCAAGCCUGAUCCAGCCAUGCCGCGUGAGUGAUGAAGGCCUUAGGGUUGUAAAGCUCUUUCAGGUGGGAAGAUAAUGACGGUACCACCAGAAGAAGCCCCGGCUAACUUCGUGCCAGCAGCCGCGGUAAUACGAAGGGGGCUAGCGUUGUUCGGAAUUACUGAGCGUAAAGCGCACGUAGGCGGACAUUUAAGUCAGGGGUGAAAUCCCGGGGCUCAACCCCGGAACUGCCUUUGAUACUGGGUGUCUUGAGUAUGGAAGAGGUCAGUGGAAUUGCGAGU